ACCGGCGCACGGGUGAGUAACACGUAUCCAACCUGCCGUCUACUCUUGGACAGCCUUCUGAAAGGAAGAUUAAUACAAGAUGGCAUCAUGAGUCCGCAUGUUCACAUGAUUAAAGGUAUUCCGGUAGACGAUGGGGAUGCGUUCCAUUAGAUAGUAGGCGGGGUAACGGCCCACCUAGUCUUCGAUGGGUAGGGGUUCUGAGAGGAAGGUCCCCCGCAUUGGAACUGAGACACGGUCCAAACUCCUACGGGAGGCAGCAUG
This 261-nucleotide ribosomal RNA is filed under the name uncultured bacterium. RNAcentral describes it as "partial 16S ribosomal RNA". It matches the Rfam family "Bacterial small subunit ribosomal RNA", at positions 94 to 353 of the family's 1533-position model. The record is from RNAcentral.